AUUUGGUGACCUAUUCUUCAGAUCAGCAGUCUUUUUCCCCCAAAACCCUGGGUCUAUAAACAGCUGUGAAAUCAGUUCAAUGGAAAUUGACUGCUUUCUUAAGACAAUGAAAUAGUAUACUGCAGACAAAAGAAUAUCAGAGUACUCUGCACGUUUAGUGAAAUGUUUCAAUGUGUGUACAGGAUUAGUGUAAAAUAUAUUUCUUAUUGCGGUCAAAAAAGUUUUGAGACGUGGAUCCAAAAGAAUCCCAGGAAAAGAAAGAGGCUAGCUAGAAUCAAGUGAAAAAGAAGGAUGUGAGGCAAAGUCUACCUUCUUCAAAAACAUAUUUGCCAUUAUUUUAGGAAGCCAAACAAGGACAAGAUGCAAUCAAUCGUAUGUGUAAGUUUAAGCAGCAAAAAGUGGUAAAAACUUUUUUUUUCUGAGACAAGGUCUCACUCUGUCGCCCAGACUGGGGUGCAGUGGCAUCAUCUCGGCUCACUGCAAACUCUGCCUCCCAGGUUCAAGCGAUUAUCCCGUCUCAGCCUCCUGAGUAGCUGGGAUUACAGGUGUGACCCACUGUGCCCAGCC
Molecule: long non-coding RNA, 567 nt
Organism: Homo sapiens (human)
Lineage: Eukaryota; Metazoa; Chordata; Mammalia; Primates; Hominidae
Source: Ensembl